AGAAUAGCCUUGUGAAUCCCUCAAGUUGUGGGGCAGAUCCGCGUAGGCGUUUCUGUUUCAACACUACCCUUUCCGUGCGGGCUUCCUGGUGCUGAUACGGAACUCACCAGGAGGCCCCGACACGAUGCAGUAUACUGAUAUUAGUCAUACAUCUAGGCCUCUUAUUACAGGAGCUUUUUUACAU
Molecule: small RNA, 184 nt
Filed under: Enterobacter cloacae
Lineage: Bacteria; Pseudomonadati; Pseudomonadota; Gammaproteobacteria; Enterobacterales; Enterobacteriaceae
Description: Gammaproteobacterial sRNA STnc100
Rfam family: Gammaproteobacterial sRNA STnc100
Source: RNAcentral